This is a long non-coding RNA of Trematomus bernacchii (emerald rockcod), 1118 nucleotides long. RefSeq lists it as uncharacterized. Lineage: Eukaryota; Metazoa; Chordata; Actinopteri; Perciformes; Nototheniidae. The record is from RefSeq and is a predicted model, not a curated record. The transcript is spliced from 3 exons.
GGCAGCUGCUCAGCCGCCUUUAUUCCGGAUCUGUUCAUCAUGGUCUAACUGAAGGAACAGCUGAUUUCUGAAGCUUAAAGCCUGCCUGUCAUGGGUCUGGCUAAUUUCUGGAGGAACUACAAAGUCUUGAUUGUGACGGUCCCGGGUGUGGGGCUGAUCCACUGGGGCUGGCUCAAACUGAGGGCAAACUCUCUGCUGAUGAAAGACCCACAGCAAUACAUCCCCGAACCCAGCAUCGUCACUUUUAUUUCAGCUGUUGGUUCAGCUCUGGCUGCUCCUUUUGCUGCUCCUCCUGCUGCUCCUCCGGCUGCUGCCAAGAGCAAGUGAACAAACCUCAGAGGAGCUGGUAUGAGGUCUCAGAGCUGGCUCAGGAGGAACUGGCUGUGGGUGGCCGGCGGGGCGUUUGUUUCCAUCCACCUGGCCACCUGGCUGAUGCAGACCGCCAUGAGAAGCUCUGUGCGCUCUGACGCUGCGCUCAAACAGAAAACUCCCGGGGAACGAAUGGACUGACAUUAUGUGACUUUUCCAUAGAAGUCAAGGAAGGAAGGACACCAGCUUGAGUUUAACACAACGGAGGACUGUGACCAACACAAUGAUUGAGUAACACUCAGAUAAAUCAUCCACUGUGUCUGAUUCUGACUUAAAAUAUUCAAUUAUCAAUGGCCUGACUGCAGUGGAAAAGCUGUUUUUCUGUUGUGUUCUCUUCUGUUUAAAGGACCAUUCUGUAGGAUUUAGGAGGUGAUAUUUUGACGGAAAACUUAUAUAAUAUAUGUUUUGUCAAAUGCAGAAUGUCGAAAUACCGGGAUGUGCUUCUGCAUCUGGUUGCAUUCUGCAGAUUGGAAGCCAGCAUGCCUUCCUGGCUAUUAGGACCCACAACCAAUUGCACAGUGGAUAUAUGAGCAAAAGGUUAAAGUUCAAGGUGCUAUGUUAUCCUUGAGGAAGUCAAAAUGAUGAAAUUACACACUGUACAUUUGGAAAAGUAGAGGUAUUGAGUUUUUUAACCAUGUGUAAGCUCCCUACUAGAGGCAAAUGAAUCCUACACAUUGCUCCUUUAAUUGAAUGUUUUGUUGAUAAUUCAGGUUUUGAUUUACUGUGAAUCCAAUAAACAGAUGAAAUGA